GAGACCCGAUCGGUGUGUAAAUAAAAGACCUGUUACUUCCUGAAGACUUGUGUCCAUAUCUCUAUGUGUGGCUUCUGUGGUUUGUUCCUGUUAUUCCACCGGUAACAACAGUUAUAUAUAAAUGUAGGUGCUGGUUGACUACAGGGUUACUGAGUUCUAGAUAAUAUGCGUAAUGUUAUUUUCAGUGUGAACUGUCAGGAAUUUAAGUUAAUUAUUAAUUCUAGGCCAAAAUAGCUGAAAAUAUAGCUAACUUGGAGAAUUUUUCCUGAUCAGCUAUUGUGGCCUGAAAUUCACUUUGAAUUACCAGCAUUUCACAAUUGAGUGAAUAACUGUGCCAGUAUUCUAGAACUCGGUCACCUUUAACAAAAAUGAUCUAUUUUUUUUAUUUAGCGCUACAAACCUGUGCAGUGUAUCUAAGUGACAAGAAAGUUACUGAUUAUGCAGUAAAAUUAUGGAAAAUAAAACAUAAAAUGUGAUCCUGUUUGUGAAAGCUACCCCAUUACGUUUGAUGUUUUCUUCUACAUGUGACACACUACAGGUAAGGUUUUAAGGGUGUCUUGCACUUUAUAAAGUUUACCCAACUGCCUUGUUGACUUUCUUGCAUUGUUGAUAUAGACUACACAUCACUUGAGCUUGUGCAGUAGAUGUUAUGGUGGCAAAGUAAUUGCGGUACCUCAGGAUAAAAUGGAGGUGGGGGAAAUGGUAACGUUUGAGAUUUAGAUGCUCGCCAAUGGCGAGUAUGUGCAAAAACAUAACAACGUGAUGUAAGCAGAAGGUUUCAAUUAACUGAGUUCUGCCUUAGAUCUUUUGCUGCACCAUUUUCUUAUGCCUGAGGAAGGAUAAGCUACAGUAAGUAUGGUCACACCUCAGGUGUAGGUAGCCAGGUAAGUAUGGUCACACCUCAGGUGUAGGUAGCCAGGUAGGUAAGGAAGGAUAAGCCACAGUAAGUAUGGUCACACCUCAGGUGUAGGUAGCCAGGUAAGUAUGGUCACACCUUAGGUGUAGCUGAACAAUCCUCUUCCUAGUCCCUAGGCAAACUCCAGGCAGGGUAAGGUAUGGCUGCACUCUCCCCUCCGUUCGCUUCUACCUUCAUCCCAUGUCUCCUUCCCCCUUCCAUCCAUCUGUCUCCUUCCUUCCAUCCAUAUCUCCCUCCCCUCUCCGUCCAUAUCUCCCUGCCCUCUCCAUCCAUAUAUCUCCCCCCAUGCCUCCCUUCCAUAUCUUUCUCCCCCUUAAAUCAUGUCUCUCCUCCCUUCCAUCCAUACCACCCUCCCCCUUCCAUCCAUGUCUCCUUUCCAUUCAUACACCCCCAUGUUUCAGCCUUUCUUUCAUAUCUCCACCCAUGUCUCCCUUCCAUCCAUAUCUCCAUUCCAUCCAUAACGCCCCUCAUGCCUUCCUUCCAUAUCUACCCAUAUGCCUCACUUUCAUCCAUACCAACCUUUUCCAUCUAUGCCUCCAUGCAUCCCUCCAAUCCAUAUCUUCCUCCCCACUUCCAUCCACGUCUCUCCCUCAUAUAUCCUUUCCAUCUAUAUCUCCCCCAUGUCUCUCCUCCCUUCCAUCCAUGUCUCUCCUCCCUUGCAUCCAUAGCCCCCUUCCUCCAUUCAUGUCUUUCCCCCUUCCAUCCAUAUCCCCAUGUCUCUCUUCCAUCCAUUUCUCUCCCCCAUGUCUCCCUUCCAUCCAUAUUCCCCCUUCAUCCAUGCAUGACUCUCCCCCUUCGAUAAGACUCCCCAUAUCAACCUCCCCCUUCCAUAUCUCACCCAUGUAAACCCUCCCUUCAAUAUCUAUCCCCAUGCCAACCCCCUUCCAUAUCUCUUCCCAUGCCAACCCCCCUUCCUUAUCUCACCCAUGUAAACUCUCCCUUCCAGAUCUCUUCCCAUGCCAACCCUCCCUUACAUCUCUACCAUGUAAACCUCCCCUUUCAUAUCUCUCCCCAUGCCAACCCUCCUUUCCAUCUCUCCCAUGUAAACCACCACUUCCAUAUCUCUCCCCAUGCCAACCCUCCCUUCCAUAUCUCUCCCAUGUAAACCCUCGCUUCCAUAUCUCUCCCCAUGCCAACCCUCCCUUCCAUCUCUCCCAUGUAAACCCCCACUUCCAUAUCUCUCCCUAUGCCAAUCCUCCCUUCCAUAUCUCUCCCCAGGCUAACCCUCCCUUCCACAUCUCCCAUGUAAACCCCCACUUCCAUAUGUCUCCGCAAGCGAAUCCUCAUUUCCAAAUCUCUUCCAUGUAAACCCCCACUUCCAUAUCUCUCCCCAUGCCAACCCUCCCUUCCAUAACUCUCCCAUGUAAACCCCCACUUCCAUAUCUAACCCCAUGUCAGCCCCCCUUCCAUAUCUCUUCCCAUGCCAACCCUCCCUUCCAUAUCUCUCCCCAUGGUAUCCCUCCCUUCCAUAUGUCUCUCCAUGGUAUCACUCCCUUCCAUAUCUCUCCCAUGCCAGCCCCCUUCCAUAUCUCUCUCCAUGCUAUCCCUCCCUUCCAUCUCUCUCCCAUUCCAGCCCCCUCCAAUAUCUCUCCCUAUGCCAAUGCCCCCCCCCCUUUCCAUUAAUGUCUCCCACCUUAUAUCUCCCUCCCUCUUUUCCAAGCAGCAAUCGGAUGCUUCACUUACAGAGCUGGUGCUACCUUCAACUUGGCUUUCCUCACUUGCAGAUUGAUGGCAGGGGAUGGGGGCGGCUGUGUCUGUGUCAAGCUGAGCACCUGGUAGUCAAGCAGAGGGCACAACAAUCAGUACUUAACCUAACAAUUCAUUUUUGCGCCCCUUCUAAGCCUGCGUACCAGGUGGGCGCCGUUUUCGCCAACCCAUCGUAACGCCCCUGCAUUCUGUGCAGUGAAAUAUGCACAGAAUUGACAUUAGCAAGGCAGGAAUUGAUGACACCCCAAUUAUGUUGACCGAGGUGAAGAUUUACCUCUGGCAGCACAGGUUUUAAAAUUUGUAUCUGCAGCAUUUCAUAGCAAAUCACUGAAGUGAUGAUAGUACUCGAAGUAACCCAUCAACCCAUUCUAUGCAGGGUGGGGGAGAAAGCUACUACUUAAUAAAGAACAAAUUAUACAAGUAAAAGAGUGAGCACUGUAUUCUGAAUAAGCUUUAAUGUAUGACUUUUUUUUCUUUUAUGUACUUGAUAUACAUAUAUAUUUUUUACUGAACAUGGAGUUUUCAUUCGUUUAUAUCUCAUCACAAUUUUAAUAAUGCUUAGCGAGCUGCAUUUUCAACAUUGAACAUUAUGUGGAGGAAGUGGCUGACGUGACUGAUCAUAAGUUCAUUUCAGAUGAUACUCCACACAUAAAAAGCUGUGUCACAUUUCGAAGGCAGCCUACACAAGUGUGGGUUAGAAAAUUUAAAAGGAAAAAAUCACGUGCUUGCAUUUAUUUGCGUUUUACUUGCACCAUAACAUGAGAUGUACAGUUCGGUCUGGAAAUAUUUGGACACCGACACAAGUUUUGUUAUUUUGGCUGUGUACCAAAAUAAAUUCCAGUUACAGUUAAAUAAUGGGUUUAACGUGCAGCCUCCGCUUUAAUUUGAGGGUAUUCACAUCCAAAUUGGAGGAAGGGUUUAGGAAUUACAGCCCAAAUAUGUAGCCGCCUCUUUUUCAAGGGAACAUAAGUAAUUGGACAAUUGACUCAAAGGCUCUUUCAUGGACAGGUGUGGGCUAUUCCUUUGAUAUUUCUUCAUCAAUUAAGCGGUUAAAAGGUCUGCUGUUGUUUCCAGGUGUGGCAUUCACAUUUAGAAGCUGUUCUUGUGAACCACAACAAGCAUUCAAAGGAUGCAAGUGAAAUAGGCCAUCCUUAGGUUGCAAAAAAAAAAAAGUCCAUCAGAGAGAUAGCAGGAACAUUAAGUGUGGCCAAAUCAACGGUUUGGUACAGAAAAAAAGAAAAAGCCCUUCACAACAUCAUGUCACUCUUCAGGAGGUAGGCAUAUCAUUAUCCAAGUCUACCAUAAAGAGAAGACUUCACACGAGCAAGCACCACAAGGUGCAAACCAUUCAUAAGCCUCCAGAACAGAAAGUCCAGAUUAGACUUUGCCCAAAAAACAUCUAAAAAUGCUAGCCCUGUUCUGGAACAGCAUUCUUUGAAAAGAUGAAACUAAGAUCAACCUGUACCAGAAUGAUGGGGAAAAAAUAUGGAGAAGGCCUGGAGCCUCCCAUGAUCCGCAGCAUACCACAUUAUCUGUAAAACAUGGUGGAGGCAGUGUGAUGGCAUGGGCAUACAUGGCUUCCAAUGUCACUGGGUCACUAGUGUCUAUUGAUGAUGAGACAGUAGACAGAAGCAGGUUGAUGUAUUCUGAAGUGUAUGGGUAUAUCUUUUCUGCUUAGAUUCAGUCAAAUUAAGCAAAGUUGAUUGGAUGGCUCUUCACUUUAGAGAUAGGCAAUGCCCCAAAACAUACUGCGAAAGUAACCCAGUAUUUUUUUUUAUGCAAAGAAGUAGAAUUUUCUGCAACGGCCUAGUCAAAUGCCUGAUCUCAUCCCGAUCGAGCAUGCAUUUCACUUGCUGAAGACAUAAGUUAAAAAAGAAAGACCCACAAACAAAAAACAACUGUAUUAAAGACCUGGCAAAGUAUCACAAAGGAGGAAACCCAGUGCUUGCAAAGGAUUCUCGAGAAAGUAUUAAAAAUGUACAUUUUUAUUUAUCAUUGUGUUAAUUUGUCCAAUUAUAUUUGAACCCCUGCAAUAAAGGGACUGCGUAUGAAAAUGUUUGCAACUCCUAAACGUUUAUUACCAUAUUUUUGUUCAACCCCUUGAAUUAAAGCUUCCAUUGCAUCUCGGUUGUUUAUUUUCAAUUCCACUGUGGUGGCGUACAGAGCCAAAAUUAUAAAUAUUGUGUCAGUGUCCAAAUAUUUCUGGACCUAACUGUAUAUUUGAGAAUACAUAUAAUUCCAGGCAUAUAUGUACUUUAACAGUAAUAACUAUAAUGCCAGAUUCUAAUGUACAAAAUGAAGGAUAGGAAAGUGUAGUGUUAUGCUACCCUCUAGUGUGUAUAUUUCGUAGUGCAGCAUCUAGGACUGGAGAGGAAUAUUUAUUUAUUUAUGGCAUUCAACAUACUCCGCAGCCAGGGCCGGACUGUGAAAUAAAAGCAGCCCUGGAAAAAAAUUCUAUACCAGCCCAAUAAUGCGUCGCGCCAGCAUAGUGUGCAGAUAUAGAGGUGGAAGAGAUAACUUAAAAUUGAAAACUAUUACUCCAACGAAAGAGCGCAUAUAUGGCUUCAAAAUAAACAAAAGAGCGCCUUUAUUUUAAGCAGAUGUACAUUUGCAUGUAAUCAAUGUUUUAGUACAACUACUUUGGCCUAUUAAGGACAUUUUAGUAAUGGCACUGAAAUGCUGAAUGUCUACGGUUGCACAACUGAAAAAAAAAUGAAGGGCUCUUCACUUUGAAUAUGUUAUUGUGCAUGAGUAUGCAACUAGCAACAAGACUGGGCCAAUACAUGCUCAUUGCAUAUAUAAAUAUUAAUGACAUUUAUGUGUGUAUUAUGCAUAUAUAAAUGUAUAUUAAUAUAUGUGUAAAUAUUAUAGGCAUAAUUAUAUGUUACUAAUACACACAUUAAUAUAUAUAUAUAUAUAUAUAUAUAUGUGUGUGUGUGUGUGUGUGUAUUACUGUCAGGAUCACAUCAAUUGCGUCUAUUACGUUUACUUCGUUUAGUGUAUCUUGUCUCCAAUUGUCUCCUUUUUUUCUCUUACAGCGACCCUUGUGCAUCUUUUACUUCAUCCCAGCCCCUGUGUGUCUUUUUACCCUUCUCCAGCCUCUCUAUGUCUCUUUCCCCCAGCCCCUUUGUCUCUUUCUCCCCUUCCAAAUCUAAUCUGUGUGUCUCUUUCCAGCUCCAGACUCUGUGUGCCACUUUCUCUUAUCCCAGCCACUCUAUGUCUCUUUUUCCCCAGCCCAGCGUUGCCUCCCACAAAUCUUGUGUCACUUUGUUCCCCUUCCCUACUGUAUGUCUCUUUGUCCCCCCAACACGCCUUCUGUGUGUCUCUUUCUCCACUCUCCUCCCUGUGUCUCACUUCCCCAUCUCUUCCCUGUGUCUCUCUCUUACCCCUGUCUCUUUGUCCCCCUUCCCCUGUGUCUCUAUUACUCCUCUGUCUCUUUGUCCCCCCAUCCCCUGUGUCUCUCUAUUACCCUUCUGUCUCUUUGUCCCCCCCCCUUCCCUGGUGUCUCUCUAUUACCCCAUCUGUCUCUGUGUCCCCCCUUCUCCUGUGUCUUUCUAUUACCCCUCUCUUUGUCCCCCCAUCCCCUAUGUCUGCCCACCCGGCAGCACCGACAUGCGGCCAGCGGCCGCGAUAUUAUUAAAAUAUAGGGAGCAGGGCUCCCUCUCUAUAUGCAGCUCCCCAGGUGCUGCGGCCCACCGGAAAAUUUCCCGGUAUCCCGGUGGGCCAGUCCGGCCCUGUCCGCAGCGCUGUACAAUUGGAAAAAAGACAAUACAAUAUAAACAGACCGAUAAAAAAGGUAGAGGGCCCAUCCCAUGAGCCGACAAUCUAAUGUAAUAUAAUUAUUAGCUAGUAGCUACUGAAUGCUGUUUGAUGACUUGGUACCCUGAUCUGGUUUAUCUAAUUAUUUAUUUGCCACCAAGAGUUAAGAGGUGAUAUUUAUAAAGAACAAUGAGGAAAUAUAAAAUAAUCUACGGCACAAUUAAAUAAGCAAGAAAUAAACCAAAAUAUUGUCUUUGGCGCAAUAAAAGUGCACUAUGCAAUUUUACAAUUAUGCACAGAAUACAACGUAAAAUAUCAGUAUUACCUUAACCCCUUAAGGACCAAACUUCUGGAAUAAAAGGGAAUCAUGACAUGUCACACAUGUCAUGUGUCCUUAAGGGGUUAAAAGGCUUUAAAAACUGGUCAGGAUACUCUCAGAAUUGGUAUAUAUAAAGUGGAUCAUAUAACGAGAAAAACAUAAAAAGAAAGAAAUAUAAUAGUGCAGUAUUUACUGUAACAAUAACAGUUUUAAAACAACCAAAUGUAAACUUACAAGAAUGUAUGUACAAAAAGAUUUGUGCUAUAUGAGCAUUGUCCACCAGGGGGCCACUUCUUUGGCAAACAUAUACCGUCCUCAGGAUCUAUGUAGUAGCAACUGGCUGGAAAGGCACUGUUUAUUCUGUAUAUUUCAUUCACCAGAAUUUCAGGUCACCAUAGUCCUUGUAGUGCGUUCGUCUGUUUGGGUUCGCUCGACAUGUUUCAUCCUCAUUCAGAGUUUUUUCAAGAGCUGCGAUUCCCUUAUGAGCGUUCGGCUUCUUAUAACCGAAUGAAUUGGUUUCUGCGCCUUCCAAUUGACAACUUCUACGUUUGCGGCUUUUCGUUGGUGACGUUAUCGCGUUUAGGACUAAACAGCUGAGCUCGAUUUUUUGUUUCUUUUUUCCACCAACUUUAUAGACAUUGUCCAGAAAGGGCAAUAUAUUAAAUAAGCAAAUCCAAUGCCCCUUACCCAAGAGAGCAUACAUGAAAGAAGACUUCAUACAGGCUGUUAAACUAUCUGAUAAUCUCAGACCAGAAGUUUUCUAUAACCUCUUUUUAAAAUAUAGUUACAAAUAAAUAGAGGCUGAAACAAAGAUUCAAGACCAACCUUUAUAACAUUCUGCAAAUAGAAAAAUAAAGCUAUGUGUAUUAAAAAUGUAAACUCAUAUAAAUAUUAUUUAAGGAAGGUAUGUAGAAUCUUUUUAACCACUUGGUGGUGUCCAGUUUUUACGGUGUCCAAAUUGUCAGGUAUUUGCCAAGAUUUAAAUCUCUGAACGGAUACCAUAAAUGACCACUUGAUGGCUCCAGUUGAUCAGUAAUGAAAGGUGUCUUGCUAAUAGAUCUCCAAACAGGGAUAUAUUACACAAACUCUUCCCAAGGGUAAGGAUCCAAAUAAAUGUGCAAAUUUUCAGCUUAUUUUGUUGCUCAAUAAUGAUACUAAAUUGUACGCCAAAGUUGUGGCUACUAGCUUGGCCAAAAUAAUCCCUAAACUUGUUAAAAACACUCAGGUUUGAUUUGUGUUAGACAGGCAAGCUGCAGAUGGCACUUUUAUUUAAAAAUAAAAUACAAAUAAUAUAGUGUAAUAUUGUUUGGCGCAUAUAAAAUCAAACAAAAUGGAAAUAUUGCCUUCACGUUUUUAUUUAUGUAUAAUCUGGAAUGUGGCAUGCCAAGGCGGAGGGAAUAAAGUCCACCAGAAUCUUAUCAAUUUGAGGCCGAUUGUGACGAAAUGCGCAUCGUGACUUUCAUAGACUCGGUGUGCGGUCAUACCGACAUGGGGUGAUGCUGCACACUACGAUAUAUAUACCUCCUGCAGUUAUCUAUUAAAUGGUGAUCACACACUGAGAUCUAUCUUGCCCUUAUUAUUAUUUUUUUUUAUCCUUUCAUUUCUUUAUCUUUCACAAUAUUAAUUAUUAUCUACUCAAGCUGUUUUUGCACUAGUAGCCUAAGAAUGUUAAGAAUAGGGGGGGAAGGGACUUAAGGAUAGGUGCCCUCCAAGGCACAGAAUAGUAAUUAUACUUAUAGAGCUCAGGGAACUUAUUUCUAUUUAGAUAUCCCUAUCCAGCAGCUCUAUCUCUUCAGAUAGUCAUUGCUUUUGCUCCUAAGAUCUAGGACUUUUUUCAAAAUACAUUUUUCUAUCGCACUAAAGCGAGUUAAGAAUAGAUUUUGAUCCAGUGAUUAUCUAUGAUAUAUAGUUAUUCUAGAGCUCUUUUUAUCUGUCAUCCUUUGGUUUGGGCUACAUUUAAGUUACAUGUUAGGUUUAGCAAUAUUGAACGUUAUAAUUUAUUUUCAUUUAUGUGUAAAGGCUACAUAUUCUGUCAAUGAUAUUGGAGUAGGUCCCCACUUUUUUAGGCAAUAAUAAUAAAAGUUAUAUUUGAAUGUUUACAAGCCUGUAUUUUGCUCUGUGUAAUUUUAAGGUUUAAUAGGCUCAUAAAAACGUGAGUGCAAUAUUUUCAUUUUAUUUUAUAUGCUCCAGACAAUAUUGCACUAUAUUAUUUGUAUUUUAUUUUAUUUGUUUGGAUAAUAUGGAGCUAAUUGGAGAUCUACUUGCAAGACACCUUCCAUUACUUAUUAUCUGGUGUCAUCAAUGGCUAGUUUCUGGUAUCCAUUCAGAGUUUUAACACUUAUACUUAACAAUUUGGACACCUGAAAAUGUGAACACCACCGUGUGGUUAAAAAGAAUUGAUACAUACCUUAUAUUAUUUAUAUGUUUUUGCUACAUGUAUGUGUUUUUAAUUAUUGAUAGGCACAGCUUUAAACUAUUUUUCUACUUUGACUGGUUAAACAGAUAUCCAUUCUUUAAGCAUUGCUGCCUUCAUAGUGUAAACUAUUUUUCUUCUUUGGCUAUAGAGAUAUCCAUUCUUCAAAGGAACACUAUAGUCACCUAAAUUACUUUAGCUAAAUAAAGCAGUUUUAGUGUAUAGAUCAUUCCCCUGCAAUUUCACUGCUCAAUUCACUGUCAUUUAGGAGUUAAAUCACUUUGUUUCUGUUUAUGCAGCCCUAGCCACACCUCCCCUGGCUAUGAUUGACAGAGCCUGCAUGAAAAAAAAAAACCCUUUCAAAUAAUUGUAUCUCAAUCUCUAAAUUGAACUUUAAUCACAUACAGGAGGCUCUUGCAGGGUCUAGCAAGCUAUUAACAUAGCAGGGGAUAAGAAAAUCUUAAUUAAACAGAACUUGCAAUAAAGAAAGCCUAAAUAGGGCUCUCUUUACAGGAAGUGUUUAUGGAAGGCUGUGCAAGUCACAUGCCGGGAGGUCUGACUAGGGUUAAUAAACAAAGGGAUUUAACUCCUAAAUGGCAGAGGAUUGAGCAGUGAGGUUGCAGGGGCAUGUUCUAUACACCAAAACUGCUUCAUUAAGCUAAAGUUGUUCAGGUGACUAUAGUGUCCAUUUAAGCAUUGCUGCCUUCAUAGUGUAAACCUUUUUUAGCGCUGUAUUAGAUAUAUAUUUGUCUUUAAUACAUCCUGGUGUCUGCUGUUGAUCCAAAAGAAGGCAAAAAACAAAACAAAAAACACAAAAACCUUAAUUUGAAGCCAUUUCUAAUUGUGACACAAAACAUGGGGAGAAUAUAUUUGUUUAUUUUUAUUCCAAAAUGGAAAUAUAGUUCUCCUUUGACCAGUAAACUGUUAAUCCACAUAUUACAUUAUUAUAUCCUCUAAUUACCCUGACAAGCUCCAGGCGGGCUUUGGGGAGUACAUUUUUGGGUCUGGCAAGUAGCAUAGGACUUGAAAUUUAACCCCUUAAGGACUGAGCCAAAUGUACACGUGAUCAAAACAAAACGUAAACAAAAACUUGAAUUUGCACUAUAUGUCUGUUCAGGCGUAAUUCACCCCUUUUGUAUUAUGUGCAUCCACACUUAUUUUAUAUAAUUUUAUUUAGGGGAAACAGGGCUUUCAUUUAACAUAAAAUAUUUAGGUAUGAAACAUAAUUUAAUAUGAAUAAAAUAUUUUAAAAAAAACGUGACAUUCUAACUAUGAAUGUCAUAAUACUGUUUGCUUUUACUGCAAUGAAAUACACAUUUCCUGGCUAAUCAUGGCAGCAUCACUUAUGGGUUGGCUCCGCCCCAAUCAGGUACAGCACAGGAAAAAUCAAUUAAUCUGGACCCGACUGGGGUAUAAAAGGUCCCUCCUCCUUCCAACCCACAGUCUUUUUUCCUGUCCUUUCAGGACAAACAGGAUAAGGUUUUUUGGGGGGCCACCUUCCCAUGUGUACCAUGGGCCUCCAGAUGAAGUUCAGCCUCUCUUCAACUGAAGAACUCAGUAAUCAGGCUGCACAGGCAGGACUAACUGAGUUAGGUACAGAUUAUUAUCUGUACCAUGGAGUUGGAUAAAUGAUAUAUAAAUUAUAAUAUAAAUAAUUGAUGUGGGGUCAGCUGUAGCUUUAAAAAUUCCCCUGCUAAACAUCAAAACCCCCCUGAUCAGAAGGCAGAGUAUUAUGGAGAAGCCAGUAAUGCCUAUCAUCAAAACAGUAAGUCUUCACUUUGGUUUUCUUAUUAAGCUUUAGAUUCUCUUGUUUCAUCUUACCUGAGCUGUAUAAUCUUUGUGGGAGGCUCAGACUGCAUAAGUUUCUUCACCAGAGCCUGGGCUCUUCUGUGCUCGGUUUCCAGAGCAAGCGCAGUACCGGCGGCGUCCGGCGGGCGCUCUGUGCAUUCGUGCAUUAAUUUCGCCCUUAAAGGUAUAUCGCGCCAAAAAAUAAAAAGUUUUAAAAUUGAGCGGUUUUGCUGUUAAUAACCUCCCUGGUCAUCUGGUAACUAGGAAAGCUGCCUCUGAACAUCCAGAUUCUCUUUUAAGGUCCACACUGCUAUUAAGGAGGUCAUCCAGGAAGAAUGGAAUAGACCAGAGAGAAAGGUUACAUUAAAAAAUAAAACUCCCAGACUAUAUCCGUAUGCUCUAGAAGACUGCAAAUCGUGGAUUUCUGUUCCAAAAAUUGAUGCGGCAGUGAUCCAUAUGGCAAAAAGAACGACUCUUCCC
This is a non-coding RNA of Pelobates cultripes (western spadefoot toad), 11382 nucleotides long. Lineage: Eukaryota; Metazoa; Chordata; Amphibia; Anura; Pelobatidae. The record is from the annotation of a GenBank genome assembly.